AGCGGUGAAAUGCGUAGAGAUCUGGAGGAAUACCGGUGGCGAAGGCGGCCCCCUGGACGAAGACUGACGCUCAGGUGCGAAAGCGUGGGGAGCAAACAGGAUUAGAUACCCUGGUAGUCCACGCCGUAAACGAUGUCGACUUGGAGGUUGUGCCCUUGAGGCGUGGCUUCCGGAGCUAACGCGUUAAGUCGACCGCCUGGGGAGUACGGCCGCAAGGUUAAAACUCAAAUGAAUUGACGGGGGCCCGCACAAGCGGUGGAGCAUGUGGUUUAAUUCGAUGCAACGCGAAGAACC
RNAcentral lists this ribosomal RNA (294 nucleotides) under Escherichia coli. RNAcentral's name for it is "partial 16S ribosomal RNA". It matches the Rfam family "Bacterial small subunit ribosomal RNA", at positions 677 to 970 of the family's 1533-position model. The record is from RNAcentral. Lineage: Bacteria; Pseudomonadati; Pseudomonadota; Gammaproteobacteria; Enterobacterales; Enterobacteriaceae.